Molecule: long non-coding RNA, 1260 nt
Organism: Apis dorsata (giant honeybee)
Lineage: Eukaryota; Metazoa; Arthropoda; Insecta; Hymenoptera; Apidae
Exons: 3
Source: RefSeq, a predicted model, not a curated record
UAUAAAGAUUUCUGCGAAAAAAAGGGGUAAUAAAGAAGAGCCUUUUCGAUUCAUUUUUGCAUAUAUACAAUCAUCCAUUCGUAUCAUCCGUUCUUGAAUAACCCUAUAUAUAUUGUAUUUUUCAGUUUUCCGCUCGAUGUCAUCAAAGUUGUUGAUUGUAAGAGUAAGCUGAUGGUUUUACAAGUGAAAUUGAUGGUGUUACGUCGUCGAGGGUAUGUGAAGUUUGGAAAAUUUCAGAAGGGCGUUUUGUUAUUGUAGGAUAUAACGCAGAAGAGAGUAAUGCUUUUGCCUCUUCCGGUUGAACGUGUGGGGUGAAUGUUGAUAGAUUUAUCACGCAUAAGGGAAUUGUUCUUUGCGUAGAAACGAUAUAUUUUUACCUUGCCUGGGGAGAUUAUUUUUGUUUUGAUGACAUUGUACACGAGAAAUUGUAUUUUUAAGGCGAAGGGGUGUGAAAGAUACUAGAGGGAAGUAUUAUUGUUGAAGAGUUGUAAUUGCAGCUUCGAGGUAAUUUUAAUAAUAAUAGAAAAGGAUCUUCCUGGAUCUCGGUGGCUCUCGAAGCAUGCACAGCUAUCGAUGCACAAAGCACAAUGGGGCUUGGAAUAGCCACGAUAACGGAUUUCUACGAUCUUUUUUAUCGGCUUGGACGUUUUCCCUGCAGCAGGAGACCGAGUUAAAUUAAGUGAGAACCACAUUGUGGAUGGUCCAAGAGUUUUGCAUCCCCUCGUAACCACACCGUUCCAUUCCAUCAGUCCCUUAAUCUCGAGCCAGCGAAUACCAAGUGGACGACAGCCACGAUUUCGAUCGACGUUGUAAGCGCGCGUGUUGCUGCCUCGUUCCAAGAGGAAUCGAGGCGGCCGAUCGAGGCAAGCAUCCGAGGCACUCGUUCUCGCCUAAUCAACGGGAUGCGACAAGCCAAGAAUUGAUCACGCAUCUCUGGCUGGCACCGGUUGUAUCCCCCGGUCGGCCGACAUCCGUUUUGGAUUAUUCAUCGAGAUACAUCGGGGACAACCUUCGAUCGGGACACGUCACGCGGUGGCAUGGCAACAUUUAUUUUCUGGUGUAUAUCGGCGACAAGUUCACUGACCAUUCGAUCGAAGUGGAAAACGACCGUAGCCGCCUUCGAUCUGCCCGCUAAGGUUUCAAUUUGGAUAAGAGGCGAGAGAAGACACGGCAGGAUUUGUAUUAUAUUGCAUCGUGAAACGAGAAUCCCGUGUAACGGAUCGGGAAGAAAUCGACACGCAAUUAUGGGUUAAGUCGUGU